ACGCCUUAUACAUGCAAGUCGAACGAAGUAGCAAUACUUAGUGGCAGACGGGUGAGUAACAUGUGGGUAUCUUCCCUUUGGUGAGGAAUAACACGAGGAAACUUGUGCUAAUACCUCAUAAGUCUUUACGGAGAAAGCUUUAUGCGCCAAUGGAUGAGCCCGCACUUGAUUAGUUUGUUGGUAGGGUAAUGGCCUACCAAGACUGUGAUCAAUAGCUGAUCUGAGAGGAUGAUCAGCCACAUUGGGACUGAGACACGGCCCAAACUCCUACGGGAGGCAGCAGUAGGGAAUAUUGCACAAUGGAGGAAACUCUGAUGCAGCGAUGCCGCGUGAGUGAAGAAGGCCCUUGGGUUGUAAAGCUCUUUCGUCGGGGAAGAAAAUGACUGUACCCGAAUAAGAAGGUCCGGCUAACUUCGUGCCAGCAGCCGCGGUAAUACGAAGGGACCUAGCGUAGUUCGGAAUUACUGGGCUUAAAGAGUUCGUAGGUGGUUAAAAAAGUUGGUUGUGAAAUCCCGAAGCUUAACUUCGGAACUGCAAUCAAAACUUUUUAGCUAGAGUUUGAUAGAGGAAAGCAGAAUUUCUAGUGUAGAGGUGAAAUUCGUAGAUAUUAGAAAGAAUACCGAUUGCGAAGGCAGCUUUCUGGAUCAUUACUGACACUGAGGAACGAAAGCAUGGGUAGCGAAGAGGAUUAGAUACCCUCGUAGUCCAUGCUGUAAACGAUGUGUGUUAGACGUUGGAAAUUUAUUUUCAGUGUCGCAGCGAAAGCAGUAAACACACCGCCUGGGGAGUACGAC
Molecule: ribosomal RNA, 794 nt
Filed under: uncultured Pelagibacteraceae bacterium
Lineage: Bacteria; Pseudomonadati; Pseudomonadota; Alphaproteobacteria; Candidatus Pelagibacterales; Candidatus Pelagibacteraceae
Description: bacterial SSU rRNA
Rfam family: Bacterial small subunit ribosomal RNA
Source: RNAcentral